GUCACCUUAUAGUAGCGGACCCUUUCCCCAUUUUUGUACCAUCAUCAACAAAUAGCAAUAGCCUUCAAUUGCUUAACAUUGCUUCAUUAUCUUCCCAACUUGUUAAUGGCUGCCCUAUUUCCUUCAGCUUCUAUGCGCCAAUCUGACAUCGAAGGCAAAUUGGGAGUGGCCCAUUUUUCGCUUCAUAACAAGAAAACAACGCCAAUUUGGCAGAGUGGGUUUUCUGUAAAGGCAAUGAGUGUUUCAAAGUCGGAAAAGAAGCAAGUUUGGAUAUGGACGCAGAAGAAAGAAGUAAUGACCGCUGCUGUGGAGAGGGGUUGGCAUACUUUCAUCUUUCAAUCUGAUUGCCGUGAGCUUGCUUCUCAGUGGUCGUCUUUGGCAUUGUUGUUUCCUCUCUUUGUAGAAGAAGGAGGGCUCUUUGAUGGGGAGCACGUCAAAGUCGCCACCCUCUUUGAGGUUUCUUCUCCCGCACAGCUGAAGAAUCUCGAGCUGUUGAGUGAUAAAGCAGAUAAUGUUGUUGUGGAUCUGCUGGACUGGCAGGUGAUUCCUGCGGAAAAUAUUGUUGCAGCAAUUCAAGGCACUCAGAAAACAGUCUUUGCCAUCUCAAAGACGCCAUCGGAAGCUCAAUUGUUCUUUGAGGCAUUGGAGCAUGGUCUGGGAGGUGUGGUUUUGAAAACAGAGGACGUUGAUGCCAUUUUCCAGUUGAAGGAAUAUCUGGACAAAAGAAACAACCAAGGUAGUUUACUGGAAUUGACAAAGGCCACGGUCACUAAUAUUCAAAUGGUGGGAAUGGGUGAUCGUGUAUGCGUUGACAUGUGCAGCCUAAUGAGACCCGGUGAAGGACUUCUGGUUGGAUGCUUUGCUAGAGGGCUUUUUCUCAUCCAUUCCGAAUGCUUAGAGUCGAAUUACAUUUCCAGCAGGCCUUUUCGGGUCAAUGCGGGCCCAGUACAUGCAUACGUUGCUGUUCCUGGGGAAAAGACUAGCUACCUUUCAGAACUAAAAGCCGGGAGAGAGGUAGUUGUUGUAGACCAAGAUGGGAUGCAGCGAACAGCCAUUGUCGGUCGCGUGAAGAUAGAGACAAGACCAUUGAUCCUUGUUGAGGCAAAUGUACUUGAUGAUCAUCAAAUUUCCUACACUAUGAUCCUUCAAAAUGCUGAAACAGUUGCUCUUGUUGGAGCGGGACAUCAAAAUCAAGCCAUUCCCGUGACAUCGUUGAAACUAGGUGACGAAGUUCUGCUAAGUGUGCAGGGAGGUGCACGACACACCGGUAUACAAAUAGAGGAAUUCAUUGUUGAGAAAUGACUCUCUAUGAGUAAUGGUUGAAUGCUACUAUGCAUGUAAUGCUUGCUUCUGUGUUGCUUUGUUGUUCGUGUGAAGCAGAAUAGAAUCUUAUGCGGUUUAGUGUUAGUCAUAGACAAUAUAACACAAGCCGCAUGUUAAAUAAACAAACUGUGCAGCCUACUCAUCUCAACAUUAACAAGAAAGGCGAUAAACAGAGCCCAAAAGAUCACCUCGCCUCAAUGAAUAUCCAUAUCACUACAUGGUAUGAAAAAAGCAAUCAGUCUCUCAACCAGCUGAAGUUGAUCUUGGAGAAGAAUGAACAGAAACAUGAAGGAGGCGGUCAGAGUUUGUUAACUAAUGGAGAUUGCAGAGGCGGAAUAUCUGAUAUGGCGAGGCAUGGAACCUCUUAGGCAUGGAGAGACUCCUCACUUGCUGGUCGUUUUUCAUCUGCAUUUACCUCCUGUUAUGGUAUUCAUGUUUAUGCCACUAAGGGCAGCGCUCAUUGCCUGGAAAUAGGAAGUAGACCUGACUGUGUCCUUGAGGAUCGAGAGCUAGAACCACCUUGCUCAUAGCAGGUCUAAUCUUUGAAUCACGGUUGAGGCAAUGAGCAGCCAGCUGCACGGUUCUCUGCAGGGCUUUGAUUGAGAAGUGCCCCUCCAGACUACGAUCAAUUAGCCUGUAGAACCCACCUCUUCUCGUCGAGGAAAGGCGUCCCCUCCACCCAGCUGUGCUUACCGUGAGGUCUGCUCUUGUCCAUGGAUCUUCGCCCCAUCAACAGCUCGAGCAAAACCACUCUGGCACUAUAAACAUCGCCCUUUGAUGUGAGAUGCCCUGAGAAACGAGACUAUGUCCGAAAAGCUAUUUUCGCACUUGAACAAUUCAUUUAGCAAGCGGAUGACGAAGUUAGCUGUUAUGACAAACUGAUACGGAUAAUGGAAGAGAGAUAGUAGCCCACAAAUCUAGUUGAGUGGUUAGUUUGUUCAGCUAACUAAUGGAGAAGAUAUGGGAGAAGAAAUAGGCAAUCUUGUUAAGUUGUUUUUUCAGUUUCAUGAUUAGUUUUGCUACAUUAAAUCAUUUAUAAAUAGUGAGAUUCUUGGUA
Molecule: RNA transcript, 2380 nt
Organism: Salvia splendens (bonfire salvia)
Lineage: Eukaryota; Viridiplantae; Streptophyta; Magnoliopsida; Lamiales; Lamiaceae
Gene name: 3-dehydroquinate synthase
Exons: 11
Source: RefSeq, a predicted model, not a curated record